UCGUCAGCUCGUGUCGUGAGAUGUUGGGUUAAGUCCCGCAACGAGCGCAACCCCUAUUGUUAGUUGCUAUCAUUAAGUUGAGCACUCUAGCGAGACUGCCUGGGUUAACCAGGAGGAAGGUGGGGAUGACGUCAAAUCAUCAUGCCCCUUAUGUGUAGGGCUACACACGUGCUACAAUGGCAAGUACAGAGAGACGCAAAACCGUGAGGUCGAGCAAAUCCCUUAAAACUUGUCCCAGUUCGGAUUGUAGGCUGAAACUCGCCUACAUGAAGCCGGAGUUGCUAGUAAUCGCGAAUCAGAAUGUCGCGGUGAAUACGUUCCCGGGUCUUGUACACACCGCCCGUCACACCAUGAGAGUUGGCAAUACCCAACGUCCGUGAGCUAACCGCAAGGAGGCAGCGGCCUAAGGUAGGGUCAGCGAUUGGGGUGAAGUCGUAACAAGGUAGCCGUA
This 451-nucleotide ribosomal RNA is filed under the name uncultured bacterium. RNAcentral describes it as "bacterial SSU rRNA". It matches the Rfam family "Bacterial small subunit ribosomal RNA", at positions 1052 to 1504 of the family's 1533-position model. The record is from RNAcentral.